This 683-nucleotide ribosomal RNA is filed under the name uncultured Bacilli bacterium. RNAcentral's name for it is "bacterial SSU rRNA". It matches the Rfam family "Bacterial small subunit ribosomal RNA", at positions 72 to 726 of the family's 1533-position model. The record is from RNAcentral. Lineage: Bacteria; Bacillati; Bacillota; Bacilli.
UUCUUACACCGAAUGCUUGCAUUCACCGUAAGAAGUUGAGUGGCGGACGGGUGAGUAACACGUGGGUAACCUGCCUAAAAGAAGGGGAUAACACUUGGAAACAGGUGCUAAUACCGUAUAUCUCUAAGGAUCGCAUGAUUCUUAGAUGAAAGAUGGUUCUGCUAUCGCUUUUAGAUGGACCCGCGGCGUAUUAACUAGUUGGUGGGGUAACGGCCUACCAAGGUGAUGAUACGUAGCCGAACUGAGAGGUUGAUCGGCCACAUUGGGACUGAGACACGGCCCAAACUCCUACGGGAGGCAGCAGUAGGGAAUCUUCCACAAUGGACGCAAGUCUGAUGGAGCAACGCCGCGUGAGUGAAGAAGGUCUUCGGAUCGUAAAACUCUGUUGUUAGAGAAGAACACGAGUGAGAGUAACUGUUCAUUCGAUGACGGUAUCUAACCAGCAAGUCACGGCUAACUACGUGCCAGCAGCCGCGGUAAUACGUAGGUGGCAAGCGUUGUCCGGAUUUAUUGGGCGUAAAGGGAACGCAGGCGGUCUUUUAAGUCUGAUGUGAAAGCCUUCGGCUUAACCGGAGUAGUGCAUUGGAAACUGGAAGACUUGAGUGCAGAAGAGGAGAGUGGAACUCCAUGUGUAGCGGUGAAAUGCGUAGAUAUAUGGAAGAACACCAGUGGCGAAAGCGGCU